Strigops habroptila (Kakapo) is the source of this 2179-nucleotide long non-coding RNA. The record is from Ensembl. Lineage: Eukaryota; Metazoa; Chordata; Aves; Psittaciformes; Psittacidae.
UUUUUGAUUUUGCUUACUUUAAAGGGUUCUCCUUUUGCCCCAAUUACUUGUACCUUUUCAGGGGAAACUUUACAUCCCUUAGGUAUUUGCUUAAUAGUUGAUUUCUCAGCCCCAGUGUCUACUAAAAAGGUGAACUCUUGUUUAUGGGGACCUAUUUUUAAUUUUAUCAAGGGCUCAUGAUGACUCCAGUCCCCUAAGAUAUAGAGCCCCUGACUCUCUGCUUGGGGUCCCUGGGCAUGUUGAGCAUCCCACAGUCUCAUUCCUGCUCGUCUAAUCAUAUCUCUUUCCUCGGUAGUAAAUAAUUGACCAAGGAUAGAUUGCAUCUCAUCCCAAGUAUAAAGGUUUGGUCCCAAAAAUUGAUUUAAUCUUUCUGCCACUCCCAGUGGGUCCUCAAUUAAGUUUCCCAUUUCGGUUCUUUUAAAAUCUCGUAGCUCAGCCGAGUUUAGGGGUACGGAAAUAUAUCCGAUCACAGGUUGAGGUCCCCCCAUGGGUAUUUCCCUUAGGGGGGGGUACAUCUGAGCUGCCCCUUUUUGACUUCUAGUUACGCGUUAGGAAGAGAGGGAGACCCUUGUUCCGACUCUGGUGGGGGAGUGGGCGCUCUGGGGACUUCUGCGGGAGCAGAGGAGGAAUGUAAGGAGGGGGGUUAGAAGGGUUUCGUCUAACUCUUCCUUCUUUUUCUUUUGUUUAGUUUUUAUUUCAUUCAGCGGAUAAAGUCUAGCUCUCGGUCUUCUAGCCACACUUCCGCAUAUUGACUCUCCUCCGGGUUAAGGGGUUUUUAUUAUUAACCCAGAGGUUAAUUGCUGUCUUACCCAAUCUUCUUCUGACCCAUAGACUGGGCCAAAAGACAUUUUUAGAAAUCUUCUUCCCUCCCCAUUCUUAGUACAAUAUUCUAUCAUUUUUUGCUUAUCUUUCCCUAGGGUUCCAGGGAAAUAUCUCCAAUUGUCUAAGAUAUAUGCCAGAGGGGUAUUUUUAGGUACAGUGUGUACCCUCCCCAUGGGAGUCGAAGGCUUGCUGCCCUUCGCCCCCAUCUUCUGGAUUAUCCACAAACACACACUCACUCGCUCCCCUUAUUCCUGGCCCAGUCCCUCGCGGGAGGUGGAAAACGCAGUACUAAAGGGUCCACACUCGCUUGGUUCAGUAUAUCGAACCUCUCAUUCGUUAUAAUCCAGGAUACCCAAUCCCGCCCGAACGGCGAACCCGCGAACAACUUCGCACCAAGUGGGAUGCCACAAUUGAUAUUGCCAAUGCAUUUUUCUCAAUCCCUUUGGCAGCAGAGUGCAGGCCACAUUUUGCUUUUAUUUGGAGGGGCGUCCAGUAAGCUUGGAAUUGACUGCCCCAGGGGUGGAAACACAGCCCUACUGUGAGAAACUAUGGACUAGGAUAUUGUUUAUUAAGAUUUAUGUCCUCCCCUUAACCCGGAGGAGAGUCAAUAUGCGGAAGUGUGGCUAGAAAGACCGAGAGCUAGACUUUAUCCGCUGAAUGAAAUAAAAACUAAACAAAAGAAAAAGAAGGAAGAGUUAGACGAAACCCUUCUAACCCCCCCUCCUUACAUUCCUCCUCCUGCUCCCGCAGAAGUCCCCAGAGCGCCCACUCCCCCACCAGAGUCGGAACAAGGGUCUCCCCCUCUUCCUAGACGCGUAACUAGAAGUCAAAAAGGGGCAGCUCAGAUGUACCCCCUAAGGGAAAUACCCAUGGGGGGACCUCAACCUGUGAUCGGAUAUAUUUCCGUACCCCUAAACUCGGCUGAGCUACGAGAUUUUAAAAGAACCGAAAUGGGAAACUUAAUUGAGGACCCACUGGGAGUGGCAGAAAGAUUAAAUCAAUUUUUGGGACCAAACCUUUAUACUUGGGAUGAGAUGCAAUCUAUCCUUGGUCAAUUAUUUACUACCGAGGAAAGAGAUAUGAUUAGACGAGCAGGAAUGAGACUGUGGGAUGCUCAACAUGCCCAGGGACCCCAAGCAGAGAGUCAGGGGCUCUAUAUCUUAGGGGACCGGAGUCAUCAUGAGCCCUUGAUAAAAUUAAAAAUAGGUCCCCAUAAACAAGAGUUCACCUUUUUAGUAGACACUGGGGCUGAGAAAUCAACUAUUAAGCAAAUACCUGAGGGAUGUAAAGUUUCCCCUGAAAAGGUACAAGUAAUUGGGGCAAAAGGAGAACCCUUUAAAGUAAGCAAAAUCAAAAA